CUCUUCGCUCACCAUCACUUGCCAACCCGUGUCCCGCCAGCCUCCUCGCCAGCACCAUAGAGCGCCUUACAACUAAAUAAAGACCCGAGACCUCGCGCAAACCAGGGUGCUGCCCUUUCCAGGCAAGAGGGAAGGCAGGCAGAGAUGAGGACAGGAACAGAGACAGAGUGAGAUGGAAGGAUGGAGCUAGGCAAGGAUGGGUGGAAGGAGGGACCCCGGAAGGGAGAGAAAGAGGGAGGGAGGGAGAAAGGGAGGAAAAAGCCAGGGGAGGGAGGGUAGAACAGAUGGAAGGAUGGACGGAGAGACAAAAGGAGCAAGAAACAGAGAACAGAAGGCAGAGACAAAAAAUGUCUUAUGCCUCCAGAACCAACAGGACCCAGAACUCCGGGAAUAUGUUGGGUGCCCAGUACAGGCUGAGUGCUGGGCCCACAGCCCCGUUGGCCGGCGGGGCGCUCAGCGGCCCUCUGGAUCACCAGCCUGGGUUACUUCAUCCCGGAGCAAUUCAGACCAAUUCCGUUUCCGAAGGAAUGAGCGAAUUCCCCAGAGAGCAAUGAGCCGAGACUCAGGUAGUGCCUGUUGCUCAAGUUUCUGCCCCCCGAAAGCGUGACCAUGUUGACUGUUUGUUUCGCGAGCUCUGUGGGGCCCCAGAAACUUCCAGGAAUGCGUGGAAGACCAGCAUCGUGUCGGUGCUCUCCUUUCCAGUUUUCAAACAGGCUAUAUUGGAG
RNAcentral lists this long non-coding RNA (725 nucleotides) under Homo sapiens (human). Its description in RNAcentral is "non-protein coding lnc-FOXD4L5-26:3". The record is from RNAcentral. Lineage: Eukaryota; Metazoa; Chordata; Mammalia; Primates; Hominidae.